CCCUUAUUUUCAGAACCUUUCAUCCAAGAGCGAUGUGAGAGCAUUUCUGAAGCUUUUCUUGAAAAAAAAAUGGCAUCUCUAGGUGAAGGUCGUUGGUGAGUGAAGCUGUUGGUGAAGCUCGUUCAGGAAAACAACAAGGAACAGCCAGCUCGUUUUUUUGUGUAGUUUGUUAAUUCGUCUUAAAGAAGUCACAAAAGAUACAAGAAGCCAACUCUUGGUAAAGUAGAACUGUAGAAGAAUCGGUUAGAAACUCUGUGUUCUCGUCUCAGUGUCGCUGCGUAAAAAGGGAUCUACUAUUAAUGCUGUCAAUUUUUGGUGUUGAAUUGAUAUGAAGGUUUGACAUUCGAUGAAUCUAAAAGUUCGAAAUGUUAAGUACUGUCGAUAUUGCUUGUACUCAUGAAAUUAUUUGUCUUUAAUGUUUUGCUCAUGUCAUGCAUGUAGGAUAUAUAUGCAAUGGAUUUGGGAGAUAAAAGUUGGAUGAAUCUCCGAAGAUCCACCAAUGAAUAUAUUCAUGGAGUUAGUGAUUUUCUUGAUAAAGCAUUUGAACGGGCUUCCCAAGGAAAUGAAAUAUUGUGUCCUUGUAAGAAGUGUUUUAAUCAUAAUUUGCAUUGUCGAAAUAUGGUAGAGGAUCACUUGAUUUGUCAUGGAUUUAUUCAUGGAUACACCAAAUGGGUUUUUCAUGGAGAAGGAUUUUUCUCAAGAAAUACGCCACAUCCAACCAAUGAUGAAGACACUUCUAACAUGCAUGACGACAUUGAUAUACUACUUCAUGAUACUUUUAGAGAUGUAGUAGAUGACCAGAGACAUGAAGGAGUGAGAGAGGGGCCACCUGAAGAUGCAAAGAGAUUUUUUAAAUUAGUGGAGGAAGGGAAAGAAGAGUUGUACCCGGGGUGUAAGAAUUUUUCUAAGUUGAGUUUUACCAUCCGGUUAUACUUGUUUAAAUGCAUUCACAAGUUGACUGAUGUGGAAUUUUCAGAUUUGCUGCACUUGAUAAGAGAGGCGUUUCCAUUUGCUCAGAUACCCAAGUCGUUUACAAGGCAAAAAAGGUCAUAAAUGAUUUGGAUUUUCAUUAUGAGAAAAUCCAUGCUUGCACUAACGAUCGCAUGUUAUUUUGGAAUUAUAAUGCAACAUUAGAUAAUUGCUCUGUAUGUGGAGCUUCAAGAUGGAAGAAUGUUCGUAAUGACUUAACUAAUAAGGUCACUAAAAUACCAGUGAAGGUUUUAAGGUACUUUCCUUUAAAGCCUAGACUUCAGAGGAUAUUCAUGUGUUUGAAAACUUCUGUAGCUAUGAGAUAGCAUGAUACUGAAUGACUUAAAGAUGGAAAUUUAAGACAUCCUGCAGAUGGUGAAGCUUGGAAGGGUUUUGAUUUCUUGCAUCCUCACUUUGCUAAUGAUUUUCGUGAUGUUAGAUUGGGUCUUUCAAGUGAUGGUUUCAAUCCGUUCAGAACUAUGAACAUUUCCCAUAGCACAUGGCCAGUUAUGUUGAUGAACUAUAAUUUAUCACCAUGGACUUGCAUGAAGUCAGAGAAUAUUAUGUUGUCAAUGAUUAUUACAGGUCCAUCAUCUCCGGGAAAUGACAUAGAUGUAUACUUGCAACCACUGAUUGCGGAGUUGAAGGAACUAUGGGAAGUGGGAGUUGAAACAUAUGAUGUUGUAACUAAUCAAACAUUUCAAAUGCGUGCAACUUUAUUAUAGACAAUUAGUAAUUUUCCAGCUCUAGCAAUGUUUUCUGGAUGGAGCACCAAGGGGAGAUGGGCAAUGCUCCACUUGUAAUCAUAAUACUUGUUCUCAAUAUCUCAAACAUAGUCGUAAGAUGUGUUACUUGGGUCAUCAGACAUUUUUCCCUCCUGAUCUUCCAUUCAGAAGAGAUAAAAAAUCAUUCAAUGGUAAAGAGGAGCAUAAAGUUGCACCUACUCUAUUGUCAGGGGCACAAGUUCUUGAAGAGCUUCAUGAAUUCAAUAAUGUUUUUGGAAAGAACAAAAAGAAAAGAAAACGAAAGAAUGAUGGUCCAUGGAAAAAAAUCCAUAUUUUUUGAGUUGCCGUAUUGGGCAACAAACAAAUUGAGGCACAAUCUUGAUGUGAUGCACAUAGAGAAGAAUAUUUGUGACAGUUUGCUUGGGACUUUAUUGGAUAUACUUGGAAAGUCCAAAGAUCAUACAAAUUCUCGCUAUGACUUGUUGAAAUGGGGAUACGUAAAGAGCUACAACCUCUAAAAGAUUGUGAUACAGGAAAUAUCCAUCUAGCUAAAGCUUGUUUCUCUAUGACACCAGAUGAGAAAAAGUUAUUUUGCAUUCUAAAAGAUGCCAAAUUACCAAAAGGGUGUGCUUCUAACAUAUCAAGUCGCGUGCAAAUUGAAGAUAUGAAAGUCUCAGGAUACAAAAGUCAUGAUGCUCAUUUCAUAAUGCAUUACUUGCUCCAGGUUGCAGUCAGAAAAGUGUUACCCAAGAAUGUAGUCAUGGUCUUGAUUAGAUUGGGGAAUUUUUUUAGAGCCAUAUGUAGCAAGGUAAUAAGAAGAAGCGAUCUUGAUAAGAUGAAAGCAGAAAUCAUAGAUAUUGAAUGCGAGCUUGAAAAGAUUUUUACUCUAUAUUUUUUUGAUAUAAUGACACAUUUGUCUAUCCAUCUAGUAGAUGAAAUUAAGCUUGGAGGCCCGACUCAUUUGCGUUGAAUGUAUUCUACUGAGAGAACUAUGUGUGACUUCAAGGGGCUCGUUCAUAAUCGAAAAAAUCCAGAAGGAUCAAUAGUAGAAGGUUUUUCGGGUGUAGAUUGUUUGAACUUCAUUUCAAUAUACCUACCUAAUACAGUGAAAACUAAAUUAAGUAUGUAUCAAACAGAUAAUGAUGAGGACAUUCAUACAGAGGAAGGUGGUGUUUCACCUUUAUUUCCUAAGACAGGUCAUCGAAUAGGAAAUGAGAAUAUAAGGAAAGGCAAGAUAUUAAUAUGGAGCAACAUGAGUUUGAAGCACAUCGAUAUACUUUUUUCAAUACCGGAGAUGAACAAGUAGAGGCAUUUAUCAAGUAAGAUAAAAUAGUCGUUUGUUUUUAAACUUCAUUUAGAUUUUAUGAUAAUGUAUUUCAAAUUGAAUUUCAUUUAUAAAUACAUAUUAAUUACAUUA
Long non-coding RNA from Solanum pennellii, 3111 nucleotides. RefSeq lists it as uncharacterized. NCBI's taxonomy places the organism in Eukaryota, Viridiplantae, Streptophyta, Magnoliopsida, Solanales, Solanaceae. The record is from RefSeq and is a predicted model, not a curated record. The transcript has 3 exons.